GGGUCAGCACUGACUCCCACAUAUGCAUUCCUUGGAAAACUGAAUAAAAUGAGCAAAAAAACCUCUGCCGCCGAAAUGACUGCUUUUGUUUUCU
Macaca fascicularis (crab-eating macaque) is the source of this 94-nucleotide small nucleolar RNA. Its record names the gene SNORD116. It matches the Rfam family "Small nucleolar RNA SNORD116". Rfam says of the family: HBII-85 is a member of the C/D class of snoRNAs, which contain the C (UGAUGA) and D (CUGA) box motifs. NCBI's taxonomy places the organism in Eukaryota, Metazoa, Chordata, Mammalia, Primates, Cercopithecidae. The record is from Ensembl.